This 253-nucleotide ribosomal RNA is filed under the name uncultured bacterium. RNAcentral's name for it is "partial 16S ribosomal RNA". It matches the Rfam family "Bacterial small subunit ribosomal RNA", at positions 524 to 776 of the family's 1533-position model. The record is from RNAcentral.
UACGUAGGUGGCGAGCGUUGUCCGGAUUUACUGGGCGUAAAGAGCGCGCAGGCGGUCGUUCAAGUCGCGUGUGAAAGCCCCCGGCUCAACUGGGGAGGGUCACGCGAUACUGAUCGACUCGAAGGCAGGAGAGGGAAGUGGAAUUCCCGGUGUAGUGGUGAAAUGCGUAGAUAUCGGGAGGAACACCAGUGGCGAAGGCGACUUCCUGGCCUGUUCAUGACGCUGAGGCGCGAAAGCUAGGGGAGCAAACGGG